This 785-nucleotide ribosomal RNA is filed under the name uncultured bacterium. Its description in RNAcentral is "bacterial SSU rRNA". It matches the Rfam family "Bacterial small subunit ribosomal RNA", at positions 85 to 869 of the family's 1533-position model. The record is from RNAcentral.
CUGAUGGCGACCGGCGCACGGGUGAGUAACACGUAUGCAACCUGCCGUCUACUCUUGGCCAGCCUUCUGAAAGGAAGAUUAAUCCAGGAUGGGAUCAUGAGUUCACAUGUCCGCAUGAUUAAAGGUAUUUUCCGGUAGACGAUGGGGAUGCGUUCCAUUAGAUAGUAGGCGGGGUAACGGCCCACCUAGUCAACGAUGGAUAGGGGUUCUGAGAGGAAGGUCCCCCACAUUGGAACUGAGACACGGUCCAAACUCCUACGGGAGGCAGCAGUGAGGAAUAUUGGUCAAUGGGCGAUGGCCUGAACCAGCCAAGUAGCGUGAAGGAUGACUGCCCUAUGGGUUGUAAACUUCUUUUAUAAAGGAAUAAAGUCGGGUAUGCAUACCCGUUUGCAUGUACUUUAUGAAUAAGGAUCGGCUAACUCCGUGCCAGCAGCCGCGGUAAUACGGAGGAUCCGAGCGUUAUCCGGAUUUAUUGGGUUUAAAGGGAGCGUAGAUGGAUGUUUAAGUCAGUUGUGAAAGUUUGCGGCUCAACCGUAAAAUUGCAGUUGAUACUGGAUGUCUUGAGUGCAGUUGAGGCAGGCGGAAUUCGUGGUGUAGCGGUGAAAUGCUUAGAUAUCACGAAGAACUCCGAUUGCGAAGGCAGCCUGCUAAGCUGCAACUGACAUUGAGGCUCGAAAGUGUGGGUAUCAAACAGGAUUAGAUACCCUGGUAGUCCACACGGUAAACGAUGAAUACUCGCUGUUUGCGAUAUACGGCAAGCGGCCAAGCGAAAGCGUUAAGUAUUC